Molecule: ribosomal RNA, 497 nt
Filed under: uncultured bacterium
Lineage: Bacteria
Description: partial 16S ribosomal RNA
Rfam family: Bacterial small subunit ribosomal RNA
Source: RNAcentral
GAUGAACGCUGGCGGCGUGCCUAAUACAUGCAAGUCGAGCGAACAGACGAGGAGCUUGCUCCUCUGACGUUAGCGGCGGACGGGUGAGUAACACGUGGAUAACCUACCUAUAAGACUGGGAUAACUUCGGGAAACCGGAGCUAAUACCGGAUAAUAUAUUGAACCGCAUGGUUCAAUAGUGAAAGACGGUUUUGCUGUCACUUAUAGAUGGAUCCGCGCCGCAUUCGCUAGUUGGUAAGGUAACGGCUUACCAAGGCAACGAUGCGUAGCCGACCUGAGAGGGUGAUUGGCCACACGGGAACUGAGACACGGUACAGACUCCUACGGGAGGCAGCAGUAGGGAAUCUUCCGCAAUGGGCGAAAGCUUGACGGAGCAACGCCGCGUGAGUGAUGAAGGUCUUCGGAUCGUAAAACUCUGUUAUUAGGGAAGAACAAAUGUGUAAGUAACUAUGCACGUCUUGACGGUACCUAAUCAGAAAGCCACGGCUAACUACGUG